Molecule: ribosomal RNA, 834 nt
Filed under: uncultured bacterium
Lineage: Bacteria
Description: bacterial SSU rRNA
Rfam family: Bacterial small subunit ribosomal RNA
Source: RNAcentral
AGAGUUUGAUCCUGGCUCAGGAUGAACGCUGGCGGCGUGCUUAACACAUGCAAGUCGAACGGGGGCGUGAUGUGCGAGAGGGAUAGUUUACUAGACUUCAAACUUUUCACGCCCUAGUGGCGGACGGGUGAGUAACGCGUGGGUAACCUGCCAUAUACAGGGGGAUAACACUUAGAAAUAGGUGCUAAUACCGCAUAAGCGCACAGGGGCGCAUGCCCCGGUGUGAAAAACUCCGGUGGUAUAUGAUGGACCCGCGUCUGAUUAGCCAGUUGGCAGGGUAACGGCCUACCAAAGCGACGAUCAGUAGCCGGCCUGAGAGGGCGGACGGCCACAUUGGGACUGAGACACGGCCCAAACUCCUACGGGAGGCAGCAGUGGGGGAUAUUGCACAAUGGGGGAAACCCUGAUGCAGCGACGCCGCGUGAGUGAAGAAGUAUUUCGGUAUGUAAAGCUCUAUCAGCAGGGAAGAAAAUGACAGUACCUGACCAAGAAGCCCCGGCUAACUACGUGCCAGCAGCCGCGGUAAUACGUAGGGGGCAAGCGUUAUCCGGAUUUACUGGGUGUAAAGGGAGCGUAGACGGUUAUGUAAGUCUGGAGUGAAAGCCCGGGGCCCAACCCCGGGACUGCUUUGGAAACUGUGUAACUGGAGUACAGGAGGGGCAGGCGGAAUUCCUGGUGUAGCGGUGAAAUGCGUAGAUAUCAGGAGGAACACCGGCGGCGAAGGCGGCCUGCUGGACUGAAACUGACGUUGAGGCUCGAAAGCGUGGGGAGCAAACGGGAUUAGAUACCCUGGUAGUCCACGCCGUAAACGAUGAAAUACUAGGUGGUGAGGGG